RNAcentral lists this ribosomal RNA (506 nucleotides) under uncultured bacterium. RNAcentral's name for it is "bacterial SSU rRNA". It matches the Rfam family "Bacterial small subunit ribosomal RNA", at positions 8 to 518 of the family's 1533-position model. The record is from RNAcentral.
AGAGUUUGAUUAUGGCUCAGGAUGAACGCUGGCGGCGUGCUUAACACAUGCAAGUCGAACGAAGCAUUCCUAACCCUUCGGGGGAGGGAAUGACUGAGUGGCGGACGGGUGAGUAACGCGUGGGUAACCUGCCUUAUACAGGGGGAUAACAGUUAGAAAUGACUGCUAAUACCGCAUAACCCGCUAGUACUGCAUGGUACAGACGGAAAAGAUUUAUCGGUAUAAGAUGGACCCGCGUCUGAUUAGCUAGUUGGUGAGGUAAAGGCCCACCAAGGCGACGAUCAGUAGCCGGCUUGAGAGAGUGAACGGCCACAUUGGGACUGAGACACGGCCCAAACUCCUACGGGAGGCAGCAGUGGGGAAUAUUGCACAAUGGGGGGAAAAACCCCUGAUGCAGCAACGCCGCGUGAAGGAAGAAGUAUUUCGGUAUGUAAACUUCUAUCAGCAGGAAAGAAAAUGACGGUACCUGACUAAGAAGCCCCGGCUAACUACGUGCCAGCCGCCGC